UACUAUUAUGCCUUACAAAAAUACUAAACAUAUUAAAUAUAUAUGCAACUAGCUAGCCAUCUGGUACAACUUUUCUUGUGAAUUCACAAGCCUCUUCACCUCAACGUACGUCUCAUUUAAUCCACCACAAACCUGCCACAAAAUCAUACAAAGAGCCAACCAAGAAUCACAAUGUAGAGCAUCAUGAUUAACACUUAAAAAGCAUAUUAAAGUGAUUGGUAAAAUGAUCCAACGAAGGACAAAACCUAUUAAGUUACUAGGCACUAAAUACUCCAAACAAAUUGUGUGGAAUAAAAGAAAAGCACCCAUCAAAGAUUGCUCAUGUCUAAAAAAGAUACAUAUCUAAAAAGUAUACUAUUAGAUAAUAAGUAUACUAAAAAAAAUUAAGUUAAAAAAGAUAAUUUCAUUGAGCAAUAAUAAGGUAGCCUAUACCUAUACCUAACUUGAUAAUAUAUGGGGUUUUAACACAUGCCUUGACAAAUAAUUUGUUUAAUUAAAACAACAGACUGCAGAAACUAAAGUUGAAAUUCUAACUAAAGUUAAAAACUCACAUACCACUUCAAAUUAUAGUGACAAUAUUCACAUCAACAACAGCAAAGUAGAUAAUAGUAUUUCAAAAAAUAAAAUAAUGAGCAGAAGACGUCUUAGCAUCAACCCCCUCUCAUCUCCAACUUUCAACGACUAAUUAUAAUUCCUCUAGCUCACUCUAACUUAAUAUAUGCACAUUUUAUUCAGUUAACAUAUUAUAUAAACAUAAUUAAUCACUAUGAUCCUAAAUCUUAUGACACGUGCAGAUUGGAAAUGCAAAACAACACAAGUACUGCUGCUGCUGCUGCGGCCGUGGUCGCGGCCCCUGCCCCCGCCCCCAAGAACCAUGUAAAACAACAAACAUUGAAAAUGAAUUGCCUUCAGUCAUAUCCAGUUCACCAAACAUAAAAGGUAAGAUUGUAAAUAUAGCACAUAACUAGAGACUGGUGAUCACCUCCACUAUAUAUUGCAGAUAACUUUUGGGCUCAAUUUUAGGAAUUCCCAGUAAAGAUUGAAAACAGAUAAGUUAAUGCACCAGAUAUAGGCAAGAUAAGUAGCAUGAUAGCAAAUAUGACUCGUAAAAUAGAACUUAUAACUUAUAAGCUCACCAAAAAACCCCCCUACAGAUUGCUUUUAUCAAACCACAUUCCACUUUAUGACAUAUUCUACUUAAUGCCUAUAAUUGAGGACAGUUGCCAAGUAGGAAAGGGUUGAUGAAUAGUUAUAAGAGAUGCAUUACCUGAAACAAAAUCAAAAUAAAAUCUGAAACAAUUAACAUUCCUGCUAACUGACUGCUGCUCUCAUCCCAUAGAGGCACAACUCUCAGCCCCUAACAAAUUAUACCAAACUCAGAGUAAAUAUCAUAAGAUACUCAACACCUAACAGAAAAUAAACCAUAUAAAUGCUCUAGUUGAACAACUAAAUAAAUAGCAUUCAUAAAAGAGAUUUGGAGCAAGUACAAGGAGAUUUAGCAAAAGCAAUUAAAUCUUGUGGAAGCACUCGUUCAAAUCCCACCCCUAAUGUGAAGAAGUUUACUGUAUGAGCCACUAACCUUCUUGGCAUCCUAAUAUUCAGAAAAUACUAUUUAGAUAAUAUAUGAGAAAAGCUCAUGUAGAAGAAACAUUGCAUCAAUUAAGAAAGCAAACUAAAAUUAACCAUACUUGUGACUUGUGAGUGGUCAAUCCCUGCACCCAACCCAAACCCCACUGCCUACUUUCUGAUUUAACAAGCUUACACAGUCCCGGAUCAAUUGCAAGAGCAAGUCUGCCAGACACAGAAAACUCAGGAAAAAGUGGAUAAAUAAUUCUUAAAUAAAAAAUGGAUACUAGGAACAAAAAUAAUGUAUUUUUGACAAAUUUAAUGUGUCAGAGAUGCCACAAGAAUUGUAUUCGACACCUCCGCCCUCCUGUUAGUCACAGUCACUACGAGAGCUUCAUAAGUUGUUACCGACAACACAAUUUUAGGACCAUGGUCAAACUAGUAAAAACAUAAAACAUAUUGGUAUAACUGAGGCAUUAUAUCAUAAAUGUGAAUGCCAAUAUAGAAUAUGCCGAUAUAAAUUAGUUUUAAUCCUAACAACCCUUUCUAUGCAAUAUUUGACAACUAAAACAUAGAUCUCACCAUGGAUCAUAAGCAACAAUCUCUUUGAACUUCACACAAACAAGCUCACUGCCAACAAAGCAGAUAAUUGCAUUAGGCAAAAGACCAAGAAGCAAAGCAUAAGUACAUUGACUAAGAUUCAUUAAUUUCACCCAAACAAAAGUUGAUACUGUCAAAAUUAUAAUUUGAUUUAAAAUAAAUAGACUGUCAUACGAAUAAGCACAUCAUUCUUGUAAUUUAUUUUAGUUCAAAGGUAAAUUCCUGCUAUAUAGCUCUCAUCAUUUACCUCAUAGAAAGGUAAUGACAACAGCGAAUGAAAAGAGAAGUUCUAUCACUUGGUGCAAUUACAUGGCAGAUCAAAAGUAUAUAAUGAACCAAUUAAGGAAUUAACCCAUCUUAAAUCAAGACUUAUAAGAAGGAUAGCAAUAUUUGUUAUGUUCUAGAGGGGUAUGACACGUAAAACAAACAAGGAAAAAAUAUGAAGAAUAGAUGCACCAAAUAUUUGGAAAAGUAUUCUAAUAUGCUAAAGUAGGACAACUUAUGGCAAAGUAUACUCAUUAUCUUGCAUAUCAGUUUUGUUAAUAUUUGGGUUUCCAUCAUUAACACCACCACCAAAGACCUACAAUUCAAGAAGAAAUGAAACGAUAUAUAAUUUGCAUGAAGUAAAAAAAGAAAAGAAAGAGUAUAUAAUCUGAAUUGUAAAAGAUAUGAUGAAAAUCAUUCUCUUCUUCCAAUAUCAAAGUCGUGAAUAUGUGAAGCUAGAUCAAGCUAUUAAACUAAUCCCUCCAUAGGUUUGCAACCUCAUCAUUUUGCUCUGUUCCCUGUCGAUCACAUUCACAU
This 2967-nucleotide long non-coding RNA is filed under the name Salvia miltiorrhiza (redroot sage). Its description in RNAcentral is "long non-coding RNA (SMIL_LNC007247)". The record is from RNAcentral. Lineage: Eukaryota; Viridiplantae; Streptophyta; Magnoliopsida; Lamiales; Lamiaceae.